CAGAGGGGGCAAGCGUUAUUCGGAAUUAUUGGGCGUAAAGGGCGCGUAGGCGGCCUUGCAAGUGACGGGUGAAAUCCCUCGGCUUAACCGAGGAACUGCCUGUCAGACUGCAUGGCUUGAGACCGGGAGAGGUGAGUGGAAUUCCCAGUGUAGCGGUGAAAUGCGUAGAUAUUGGGAGGAACACCAGUGGCGAAGGCGGCUCACUGGACCGGUACUGACGCUGAGGCGCGAAAGCGUGGGGAGCAAACAGGAUUAGAUACCCUGGUAGUCCACGCCGUAAACGACUGAGUGCUUGGUGUAGCGGGUAUCGACCCCUGCUGUGCCGAAGUCAACACAUUAAGCACUCCGCCUGGGGAGUACGGUCGCAAGACUG
This 373-nucleotide ribosomal RNA is filed under the name uncultured organism. RNAcentral describes it as "bacterial SSU rRNA". It matches the Rfam family "Bacterial small subunit ribosomal RNA", at positions 526 to 896 of the family's 1533-position model. The record is from RNAcentral.